GUCGAGCGGUAGCACAGAGAGCUUGCUCUCGGGUGACGAGCGGCGGACGGGUGAGUAAUGUCUGGGAAACUGCCUGAUGGAGGGGGAUAACUACUGGAAACGGUAGCUAAUACCGCAUAACGUCGCAAGACCAAAGUGGGGGACCUUCGGGCCUCAUGCCAUCAGAUGUGCCCAGAUGGGAUUAGCUAGUAGGUGGGGUAAUGGCUCACCUAGGCGACGAUCCCUAGCUGGUCUGAGAGGAUGACCAGCCACACUGGAACUGAGACACGGUCCAGACUCCUACGGGAGGCAGCAGUGGGGAAUAUUGCACAAUGGGCGCAAGCCUGAUGCAGCCAUGCCGCGUGUAUGAAGAAGGCCUUCGGGUUGUAAAGUACUUUCAGCGAGGAGGAAGGCGUUAAGGUUAAUAACCUUGGCGAUUGACGUUACUCGCAGAAGAAGCACCGGCUAACUCCGUGCCAGCAGCCGCGGUAAUACGGAGGGUGCAAGCGUUAAUCGGAAUUACUGGGCGUAAAGCGCACGCAGGCGGUCUGUCAAGUCGGAUGUGAAAUCCCCGGGCUCAACCUGGGAACUGCAUUCGAAACUGGCAGGCUAGAGUCUUGUAGAGGGGGGUAGAAUUCCAGGUGUAGCGGUGAAAUGCGUAAAGAUCUGGAGGAAUACCGGUGGCGAAGGCGGCCCCCUGGACAAAGACUGACNCUCAGGUGCNAAAGCGUGGGGAGCAAACAGGAUUAGAUGCCCUGGUAGNCCCNCCGNAACGAUGUCGACUUGGAGGUUGUGCCCUUGAGGAANAGCUUCCGGAGCUAACGCGUUAAGUCGACCGCCUGGGGAGUACGGCCGCAAGGUUAAAACUCAAAUGAAUUGACGGGGGCCCGCACAAGCGGUGGAGCAUGUGGUUUAAUUCGAUGCAACGCGAAGAACCUUACCUACUCUUGACAUCCAGAGAACUUAGCAGAGAUGCUUUGGUGCCUUCGGGAACUCUGAGACAGGUGCUGCAUGGCUGUCGUCAGCUCGUGUUGUGAAAUGUUGGGUUAAGUCCCGCAACGAGCGCAACCCUUAUCCUUUGUUGCCAGCGGUCCGGCCGGGAACUCAAAGGAGACUGCCAGUGAUAAACUGGAGGAAGGUGGGGAUGACGUCAAGUCAUCAUGGCCCUUACGAGUAGGGCUACACACGUGCUACAAUGGCAUAUACAAAGAGAAGCGACCUCGCGAGAGCAAGCGGACCUCAUAAAGUAUGUCGUAGUCCGGAUUGGAGUCUGCAACUCGACUCCAUGAAGUCGGAAUCGCUAGUAAUCGUAGAUCAGAAUGCUACGGUGAAUACGUUCCCGGGCCUUGUACACACCGCCCGUCACACCAUGGGAGUGGGUUGCAAAAGAAGUAGGUAGCUUAACCUUCGGGAGG
This 1394-nucleotide ribosomal RNA is filed under the name Enterobacter sp. HT34. Its description in RNAcentral is "16S ribosomal RNA". It matches the Rfam family "Bacterial small subunit ribosomal RNA". The record is from RNAcentral. Lineage: Bacteria; Pseudomonadati; Pseudomonadota; Gammaproteobacteria; Enterobacterales; Enterobacteriaceae.